AAUCAACGCUGGCGGCGUGCCUAACACAUGCAAGUCGAACGCGAAAGCCCCGCAAGGGGCGAGUAGAGUGGCAAACGGGUGAGUAACGCGUGGGUGACCUGCCUUCGAGUGGGGGAUAACGUCUCGAAAGGGACGCUAAUACCGCAUGACAUCUUGCCUUUAAAGAGGUGAUGAUCAAAGCCGGGGUCGCAAGACCUGGCGCUUGAAGAGGGGCCCGCGUCCGAUUAGCUAGUUGGUGAGGUAACGGCCCACCAAGGCGACGAUCGGUAUCCGGCCUAAGAGGGCGGACGGACACACUGGGACUGAGACACGGCCCAGACUCCUACGGGAGGCAGCAGUGGGGAAUUGUUCGCAAUGGGCGCAAGCCUGACGACGCAACGCCGCGUGGAGGAUGAAGAUCUUCGGAUUGUAAACCCCUUUCGGGAGGGAAGAUGGAAUGGGUAA
RNAcentral lists this ribosomal RNA (444 nucleotides) under uncultured bacterium. RNAcentral describes it as "bacterial SSU rRNA". It matches the Rfam family "Bacterial small subunit ribosomal RNA", at positions 29 to 460 of the family's 1533-position model. The record is from RNAcentral.